Molecule: RNA transcript, 1880 nt
Organism: Chenopodium quinoa (quinoa)
Lineage: Eukaryota; Viridiplantae; Streptophyta; Magnoliopsida; Caryophyllales; Amaranthaceae
Exons: 6
Source: RefSeq, a predicted model, not a curated record
ACUUGAUAGUGAUUAAGCAGUCUUUUUUUGGGUACAUGAAAAUUCUGGAAACAUGAAAACUUUCUAUUAAGCGGCCAAUUUUUUUUGGUUUCCCUCUUUCUUUUCCUAAUUCACAAACCCUCUCCGAAUUCACAAACCCUCUUUAUUUUCGUUUCAAUUCCCUCUGUUCAUCCCCCAAAAUUCUUAAAUUAGCCCUCUCUUAUUUUUGCACAUAAAUUAGGGUUGAUUAUCGUACAAUCUUGUCAUCAUAGUCCGAUUACAAUUCUUUGUAGGCGAGUUGAAAUUGCUUGAAUCACAAUUUACCGAAAUUUCUUUGCUCUCAAGACUAGUGAACAAGAAUGACGAAGAAUGGAAGUAAGAAGCUUGAAAUUGCCUUGUAGUCCAUUUUAGCACCUUAUGAGAAAGUAAGGUCCAUGACUAUGGAAAGAAAUGCCCGGAGGUUUAGAGAAUUAGGGCUCGACAAGAUUGCUUAACAAUUGUUGGAAAAAAAUAAGAACUUUACAAAAGGAAAGGAGAAUGUGAAUUCUAAUGUAGAUGAUAAAGACUAUGUGCCUGGUGAAGAAAAUUGUGACCUUGAUGAGGAGUUUGAGAUGUCUCGAGAAGCAACAACCUCUAUACCUAAGAAGAAGGCAAGAACUAGAGAGCAACCACCUAGGAAGAAUAAGAAGCAGCCAUUGUGCCCAUCUAUGGCAAUGGACGAUUUCCUUGUUGCUCAAAAUCAAAUGAAUCUAGCUGAAGUACGACAAAUAGAGCAAGAUGUACAACAAUUGGAGCAAGAUCGACAAAGAUCUAAGCGUCCGCUUUCGACUAAAGUUCCACUAGAAAGCCGAGGAGAAUCUGUCUCCGCACAAGGGUCUGUUGCUACUUAAGCAGGGCCUGCUGCUGAUGGUGCAAGGCCUACUGCUAAUGGUGCAGUGCCUAUUGCUGAUGGUGCAGUGCCUGCUGCUGAUGUUCCUAAGAAGAAAGGGCGAGGUCCAACAAAUUUGUUUGAUGCCCAUGCUCGCAAAUGGGAAGAUUGCGUAGCUAUCUACUGUAAUGACAAAGGACAAGCUAUCGGGCCUGAAAAGGCAAGGAAAGAACUAACUAAAUUAUUAGGAACUAUUGCUUAAGAUUACAGUUGGACUCCCUUGACAUACACAAAUUGGAAACAAGUUCCAAACAAGGAGAAAAUCUGGGAAUUUGUGAAUAACAAGUACAUCCUUCCAGUUGAAGCUAAGAAUUGGUAAUGGAGACUCUUGAUCAAUCAUGGAGAGGAUUCAAAUGUCGCCUCAAAAGAGAUCAUUAUUAUAUGUAUGACACCUAUGAAGAGAGAUUGAAGCAUCCUCCUGAAAGAGUUCCUGAAGCACAUUACAAAACACUUUUAGCUUACUGGGGGACACCAAUAGCAAAGGUAUAAUUGAACAAUUAGGAACUCAAUAAAUUUGUCUUGACUUUAAUGCUUUUUUUUUUAUGUAGAAAACCAGCUUGCAUGACUAUUACAAGGACUUGGUGCCACUCGUAAGAAGCGAAAAGAUAAAGGACCUGGUACCUCUUUGAUUCUACCAGAAGAGGUCAUGGAGUCUAUUAAAAGUGUUGUAACUGCUGAUGUUUAGAAGGAUAUAAAUGCUGAAAUUGAAGAAUUUGCCAAGGAAAAAGAAGUUCAUGCUGCACAAGAAGCUAAAAUAGAAAGGAAGACUAAGGAGCUUGAAUCUGAGACCUUAAAACUGCAAGAGAUACGCAUGGAUAUUAAAAAUCAGCAAGGGAAUAUAACUCUUGAUGCAGUAAUAUCAGCACUUGCACAACUACGCCAAAAAGAUCCUAGCUUAACUCUAGAAAUUAUUGCAAAAGCUAUCGUUUCAACGACUACAAAUGAUGCAUAAACUAUAUUAUUUAAGAUUAUA